Molecule: transfer RNA, 64 nt
Filed under: Typosyllis sp. patternB
Lineage: Eukaryota; Metazoa; Annelida; Polychaeta; Phyllodocida; Syllidae
Description: tRNA-His
Source: RNAcentral
UAUAAGUUAAUUUAAAUUUAAAAUAUUGGCUUGUGGUGCCAAAUUUGAUUACAGUCACUUAUAU